RNAcentral lists this unclassified non-coding RNA (236 nucleotides) under uncultured Kofleriaceae bacterium. Its description in RNAcentral is "contains 16S-23S intergenic spacer region". Lineage: Bacteria; Pseudomonadati; Myxococcota; Haliangiales; Kofleriaceae. The record is from RNAcentral.
UCCCCGUUCUCCUGGGCAGUCUCUGCGGGAUUCCGGUGGAUUUAACCCAGGUAAGGUUCUGCGCGUUGCGUCGAAUUGAACCACAUGCUCCACCGCUUGUGCGGGCCCCCGUCAAUUCCUUUGAGUUUUAGCCUUGCGGCCGUACUCCCCAGGCGGGAUGCUUAAUGCGUUAACUGCGUUGCCGCAGGGGUCAAUACCCGCGACGACUAGCAUCCAUCGUUUACGGCGUGGACUAC